UCUCUCUCUGUCCCAAAAAUAAAUAAACGUUGAAAAAAAAAUUAAAAAAAAAUUGCACAGAGAAUACAUGGAUAUAUUCCAUGUAUAAUAAUAUACAACGGUAUAUAAGGCAACGGUAACCAUCCCUGAAGUAAAUGAAACAAAAAGGGGUAAGUUCCCUUCUCUUUGUCCCCUUCUCCCACCUUCCCUCCCUGAGGUGACCACUUUGGACAACGACCCACAUCCCUCCCUGCAUUUCCUCUGUGUUUUCAUAAAAAUUAGGUACAUAUAGGUAGUUUUGAUUUUUUAUGUCAGUGGAGGUAGAUAGGUAAUAUUGUUAGGCAACUUGCUUUUUUCUUUUUCUAGCAUAUGUUGGAGAUCAAUGCACCCAAAGCCACCUCAUUUGUUUUAAUGCCUUCACAGCGUUCCAUUGUAUGGAUGUUCCAUAACUGAUCUAACCAGUCUCCUGUGGUUGGGCGUUUUUUCCCACAGUGCUUUGCUCUCAUGCAGAACGCCGCAGUGAAGAUGCCUGUAUGUGUAAUUUCAUCCCUAUGUGUGUACAUCUGUUCCGAAAAUGGAGUUGCUGAGUCCAUUGUGAUUUUGAUGGAUGUUACCAAAUCAUCCUUCGUUAGAGAUGUGUUGGCGUCGGGUAUCCGGUUUCGAAUUCUGUUGUCUUCAUUUCACUUAAGAUCAUAAACAUGUCACAUAUGCUCUGUGGUAGGCAGCUUCCAAGAUGGCACCCAGUGAUCUUGAUGGGGUUCUGGACACGCUAGCCCAAAAUAUGGCACCUUGGCAUAUUGAAUAUUUUAAGCUGAAAGAGUCUGAGGAAAUAGGAGAAGCAGGAAGGUCACUCUGACCUUUCCUCUGCCUUUCUCUCCUGAAACAAGUCAUAAACCCUCAUGAGAGAGGUACUUUUCCUGUCCUGGCAGAAAGGACUACCAACUAUCCCUGAAGAGAGACACCAAGAAGAAUCUGAACAAACAGGCCUUGCUACGUUUCCCCCAGUUUCCUACACCUACCUCACGUUCUCGGACCUGUCCUAUUUUCACACGACUGCCCACUCUUCAUCAGACUUGGCAUAGAAAUACUCAGGUCUGUUUUUCCUGGUUUUCAUUUUCUUAGGAAGGCUCCUGUGUCACGCAAAACUUAUAUUAAAUAAAUUUAUAUGCUUUUCUUCUGUUAAUCUUUGUCGGUUUAAUAUUCAGACCCAGUCAAGGACACUGAGGGUCGAGGAAAACUUUUCCCUUCCCUACAGUCCCUAUCUCCUGGAAUUCACAUGCCAGUGUAACCCUCUCUCCUUGAAAUUGGACUAGACCUAGAGAUUCAUUCUUUUUUUUUUAAGUUUGUUUGUUUGUUUGUUUAUUUAUUUAGAGACGUGGGAGGGGCGGGGAGAGAGAGAAUCCCAAGCAGACACCACACUGUCAGCACAGAGCCUGAAGCGGGACUUGAACCCAUGAACUGUGAGAUCGUGACCUGAGCUGAAACCAAGAGUUGGACACUUAACCGACUGAGCCACCCAGGUGCCCUGAGACUCAUUUCUAAUAAAUAGAAUACAGCAGAAAUGACAGGAGGUCACUUCCAAGAUCACGUUACAGAGGACUGUGCCUUCUGGGUCGCUCACUUGCUCUAAGGGAAGCCAGCCGCCAUAUUGUGAGCUGUCCUAUGGAGGGGCUGAUGUCUUAAGAGCCAACAAGGACCUGAGUGCCAACAGCCAUGUGAGUGAACUUGGAAGUGGAUCCUCUUCUAGUCAAGCUUUGAGAUGACUACCUCCUCCUGAGACACCUUGACCCAGAGGCUCCCAGCCAAGCCAUGCCUGGAUUCUUGAGCCAAAGAAACCCAGAGAUAAUAAAUGUCUGUUAGUUAAGCCA
Long non-coding RNA from Felis catus (domestic cat), 1847 nucleotides. RefSeq lists it as uncharacterized. The record is from RefSeq and is a predicted model, not a curated record. The transcript has 2 exons. NCBI's taxonomy places the organism in Eukaryota, Metazoa, Chordata, Mammalia, Carnivora, Felidae.